UAAAGCCUCUAUUGUCAUCAGGUUAAUGUCUACUCAGAGUCUUCACGUUUAAAAUGCAUUUGGUUUUAAAAUGGGAGACAUUUAAUUUGAUCCUUUUCCCAACUCCAGAUCACACUUAAAAUGGUCAGAUGUUUCAGUGGCUCCUGGUUUUCAUGAGUUUGGUCAUUCUGAAGUAGUUUUCAGCCCAUGGCUAUUUUCUAGGAGUCCUUGCCAAAAGUCUCUGAGUAGAUCUUAAACAUUUGUCUCUCCUUUACAAGUGCCACUUUGUUUCCAGUAUAUGCAGGUGAUAGGAUUUAGUAAAUACAAGUUAGCUUAAAAGUAACUGUGACUUUACCAGUAGCUCUCCUUAUUAUGCAGCCUCCUGGUUAGCAGAUCCUAAAGGUUUAGGAUGUUUAGUGCUGUCUUGUGGUGAGAGGAGUUAGAUUUUCCAGGGUUGCUGGCCAGCUUGGCUCUAACCAGUUGGUGAGUUCUAGAUUAUGUAAGAGACCCUGUGAUGGUUUGUAUAUUCUUGGGCCAGGGAGUGGCACCAUUUGGAGGUGUGGCCUUGUUGGAAUAGGUGUGACCUGGUUGGAGUAGGUGUGUCACUGUAGGUGUGAGUUUAAGACCCUCACCCUAGUUGCCUGGAAGUCAGUCUUCCACUAGCAGCCUUUGGAAGAAGAUGUAGAACUCUCAGCUCUGCCUGUGCCAUGCCUGCCUGGAUACUGCUCUGCUCCUACCUGGAUGAUAAUGGACUGAACCUCUGAACCAGUAAGCCAGCCCCAAUUAAAUGUUUUCUUUUUAAUUUUUUUUAUAAGACUUGCCUUGGUCAUGGUGUCUGUUCACAGCAGUAAAACCCUAACUAAGACAGACCCCAUUAUAAAUAAGGUGGAGAGAGUCAGUUAGUGGUGGCACAUACCUUUAAUCCCAGCUCUGGGGAGGCAGAGGCAGUCAGAUCUCUAUGAUUUCAAGACCAGUCUGGUUCCAAGACAUCCAGGGCUACUAAAAGGGAUAUUGUCUAGGACCCCCCACCCCACAAAAAAGGGGAGAAAUAAUUGAGGAAAACACCUGCCAUCAAACCCUGACCUCCAUACAUGUGUGCAUGCAUCACACACACACACACACACAUACACACACACACACGCGCGCGCACGAGUGCACAUCCAUUUAAGACUAGAGAUUUCUCUUGUGGUAUUAUGCUUAUUUUGUAUUGUUGUUGGGCAUAACAGUUUGGAGAGAAACCAAAGAUACACAGGAACCCUGAUAAGAACCAUGAUUUUAUCAAGAUUAUAGUAAUUAUGGAGAGAAAUUCUGGACCGGUCAAUUGGCAUUAUGUAUUUGAUAGUGUUUUUGCCUAAGCAUGGUUUACUGUUUGAGAGGACAGUAUGUCUUGAGUUUUUCUUCUUUUGCUCUCUGACCGUUUUUUUUUUUUAAUGCUGAAAGGAAGAAGCUAUUCUCUGACCCCCAGUUCUGGAAGCUGCCCAGAAGGAGUGGGGACAUGUCUUUCCUGUGUCUCUGCACACACACAUCAAAGGCUCUGCCAUAGAGGCUGUCCAGGUUGUCCUCUGUGGGUAAACAAGUUGGUUGGCAUAUAUGUGAAAACAAGAGCACAUGGACUGUAAGUGAGAGGCCACGGCAUGUCAUUGUGAAUGAAGAGGAUGAAGUCUGCCCUGGGGUUUUGUAGAUGCCUCUUCUGUCUUCAUCUGAUCCUUUGGUCAUUUUCUGAAGAAUGAAUCAGUCAGACAGGACAUCAGAGAGGAAACAUUCCUGAGAGGCUGCUGUUUUUAUCAAGUGUACCACACCAGUCUUCUGAACUGCUUCUGGUCGAUGAUAUCAAAUCCAUAGAACUGGAAAAGAGACCCUGAUUAUAAAACCAAUUAAACACAGCUAUCCGAAGCUUACAAGUUGUUUUAAUAUAAGAAUGUACUACAAUAAUCCAAGUACAAGAUUACGAAGCUUCAACACGACUCGUGGAAAACUUUUAUUUUGUUUUUAUCUUGGCUGCCUUUCCUGUUUAUAUCUCACUGAAAGAUAGAGGGAGUGUCAUCAGUGAACCAAAUCACUGGCUCACAGAGCACUUUCCAUUGUCACGUUUCCCCCAGUGAGCUUCAACAAUGCAAAGCAACGCUGAUUUCUCACCUACUGUGACUAAAGAAGCCUAUUUAAACUGAGAAAGUAGUAACUGUAUCUUGGUAUUACACAGCAACUCACACCUUAACAAAGAUGUCGACAAAACCACUACCUAUAUAAACAGCACCCUUUGCAUUCAUUUGGCAUUAAGAAUUUAAUUCACAAGCAUGUGUCUGUCUACCUUCCAGGUUCAUAGAGUGGCUGGAAGUCCAGCAACGGUGGAUAUUAAGGCAUUCACUUCCACAAACAUUUACUAAGUACCUCUUGUACAAAUGUGUUUAGAAUAGCGAACUUGCUCACCGCUGAGAGACAGGGGAGGGAGAGGAAGCCAUGACUACAAAGCAGUGUGGUCCAGGCAUAAAUCAGGCGACACUCCAAUGAGCAUAAAGAUUACCGAGGGCGGGUACCAAGCUAAUCUUUGCAACUGUGGUCCUUGACAUAGCGUUUUGAAUACACUUAGUACUCAAUUCAUAUGUAUUGAAUUAAUUAAUGAAUGGGUAGGGUGUAGUAAUUAAUCAUCCUCUUGGGACAAUACCUUCCUGUGUCCUCCUAAGUAUCCUUUGCCUGAGACUCGAGUCCUCUUUGCCCAGUGCAAACAGUUCCUGGUCUAGCUAUGCCUGGCCACAGCAUGGCUGCUAGCUCACAUUAUAACUGAUAUUUGGUGACUUGCUAUUCCCUGGAUUUCUUAUUUGCUAGUCUCUGUGCUGCUAAAACUUGGGUCUCACAAGAUGUGGUAAUAAGAAGAAGCAUGGUAAAUGAAGACAGGCAUUUGAGCCCCAUAAAUCUAUUAUCCCAUUAACUCAACUCCCAUUAUUCCUAUUACCAGGAAAGGGGUGUCUAAUUCACAGAAAAACAACUUGUUUCAAGGCAGAAGUCAUAAACGACACAACUUAAAUUUGAAUGUAGGACUCUGUAAUACUAGAUUCUUAUCAUGAAUGCUUGUGCUCUGAUGUCUAUUUAGACUGUUAAGAGAUGGUUUUAAUCAGUAGUAAAAAUCACCCCCCCCCCUUCUUUUGAAAAAGAGGACUGGUUUCCUCCAAAAACACUAUAAAUAAAUUGUUUUAAUUUAUUUAAGCUUUUAAAGUUAUUUUGUGAAUACAGUAAAAUAUGUAGUUUACAGCAGAACAACUGAAUCAACCAUUGAUAAUGCUUUCUAAGCAACGCAUUUCCUCUCAAACUAAGGAAUUUGCUUGUUAUUGUCAGAAUACCUUAAAAUGCAUUUGCCUGUGCUCAGCAGCCCCCCCCGCCCAAGCCCUCCCCAGCCCUGGGCUGCUGUAGUCUGCUGUGGGGUGAUUGGCGGCUUUGUUUCCCUGACUAGACUCAUCAGCAGCACCAGGUGGUAAUAACUAUCCAGCUGAUUUGCACGUGUAAAAAAAAAGAGAGAGAGAUCUGCCUGAGGUCACCACGGAGAUUCAUUUCCCCAUUCUCGACUUCAUAUCUGACCCGAUAUGCUUCUGGAAAAUAAUUAUUCAUGGCAGAAAGUUGCCAUACACCAAUCAUGGUGUCCUGGGAGUCUGUAGAAUCUCUGAUCAAAUAUGCUUUGUUGUGAAGAAUAAAUUGGAAAACAUGAUUUUCACCAAUGUGUAGCACAGUGCAAUUUAUUUAUUGCCUUCUCUACUUCUCUGUUCGCUUCAUCAUUAGAGACCCAAUAAAGAAAAUGAUUUGCCAGUGUGGGGAACGUUAGCCUUGGUGUUCAGCGUUCAGCAGGAUCCCAUGGAUCUAAGGAGGAAGAAGACCCAGAGUCUGUCCAAGUCAACUAGAGUAAAAGAGUGGAGACUUAGAUGACAUGCUGGACAUUGUAAUUCACCAAGUAGAAGUGAUGAAGAAAGGUGUGAGAGCGAAAGGACUUAGCUACUCUUUCUUCACCUCGGAGUCAGCCUUAGUUGGCUUACUGACUAACUCUUCUUCCUGCUUUUAUUUUUAAUAAAAAAUAUGAUGUUAUUAAGAGGAAAUAAAUGUGAGGGUAUUUUCUUUUAAGUUCCCACUACCUCCCAAUGCAGAUGUAGUGACACUCCGUGCUUUCCAAUGUAAGAAUUACUAUCCAGAUGCUGCUACGGAAAGCUUUAAAUGUGACUAGUUCAAAAGGAGAAAUGCUGAAGUGUAAAAUGCACAGCAGACCUCAGGAAUUGUGAAUAAAAAUGUAAAAUAUCCCAUUAAAUUGUUAAGUUAAUUACAGGUGGGAAACUCAAUACUGUAAAUAUAGAGUUUAGUUAAACACAUUGUGAAAAGUGGCCUGGCAUGGUGGUGCAUGCCUUUAACCCCAGUCCUUGAGAGGCAGAGGCUGGCAAAUCUCUAUGAGUUUGAAGCCAGCAUGGUCUACAGACAUUUAGUGAGUUCUGGGUUAGCCUGAGAUACAUGGUGAGACUCUGUUUCAAACAAAGCAGAAGAAGACAAAAUGUACUGUGAAAAUUAAUUCCACUUUUUUUUUGUUACUUAAAAAAACAUGACUCCUAUGAAAUUUAAAGUUGUGAGCUUCAAAUUAUAUUUCUAUUGGUUAGCAUUAUUCAGUCUUUCUCUUAUAGGCAUCCUUGUUUCCGGAGAACCAACUAUUUAUUAAUAUCAGUAUAAUUCUCAAUCAGAAUUAGAACUCAAUACAAAAUACUUCUGAAAAGCAAUUUGAUGAUACCAUAUUAAAAGACCUAAAAGUGUCAAAACCUUUUAUUCAAGAACUGCAUUUCUAGUCAUUUAUUCCUGUGGUUCUGUUUCUAGGCAUUCAUAUUCCAGAGAUGAAAACACAUGUCUACAUAGAAAUUUGUCUAUAAACAUUUAUGGCAACAUCAUUCAUAAAAGGCAAAGUGAAGAAAUAACUCAAAUAACUAUCAACUGACCAAUGGGUAAACAAAUGUGGUGUAUCCACACAAUGGGGAUUUUGUGGUUAUAGGAAGGAAUAAACCACUAAUAUAUGCUGCAAUAGAUAUGGUCCUGGAAAACAUACCAAGUAGAAGAAGCAAAUUAAAAGACCACACUUGGUUCUAUUCAUAUACAGUAUUCAGAGCAAGGAAAUCUCUAGAAACAAAGAACACUAUUGAUCACUUAGUUCUGGUGAGAUCCUCAACUGAGGUGAGGCAUUGAUAGCUAAAGGAUACUAAGUUACUUUUCUGGGAAAUAAUAAUGUUGCAAAAUUGACUAUGGUGCUGGCUACAUGUACAUGUGCACACAUGGGGUAAACAUUCACUUCUGUUCUUUAAAUGGGUUGAUUAUGCAGUGUGUGAACAGUAUUCAAUGAAGCUGUUAAAAGUGAUUACAUUUCUGGGGCCAAAAUUAAGAAAAUUGCCCCAAGUAAAUGAGAAAACCCCCUUUGUGCAUAAGGUACACAUUUCAGCAUUAUGCAUAGUAGCAAAAAAUUAAAAAC
Mus musculus (house mouse) is the source of this 5458-nucleotide long non-coding RNA. RefSeq annotates it as predicted gene, 38603. NCBI's taxonomy places the organism in Eukaryota, Metazoa, Chordata, Mammalia, Rodentia, Muridae. The transcript is spliced from 3 exons. The record is from RefSeq and is a predicted model, not a curated record.